CCUACGGGAGGCAGCAGUGGGGAAUAUUGGACAAUGGGGGCAACCCUGAUCCAGCCAUGCCGCGUGUGUGAAGAAGGCCCUCGGGUUGUAAAGCACUUUCAGUGAGGAAGAACGCCUGGUGGUUAAUACCCAUCAGGAAAGACAUCACUCACAGAAGAAGCACCGGUUAACUCCGUGCCAGCAGCCGCGGUAAUACGGAGGGUGCGAGCGUUAAUCGGAAUUACUGGGCGUAAAGCGCGCGUAGGUGGCUUGAUAAGCCGGUUGUGAAAGCCCCGGGCUCAACCUGGGAACGGCAUCCGGAACUGUCAAGCUAGAGUGCAGGAGAGGAAGGUAGAAUUCCCGGUGUAGCGGUGAAAUGCGUAGAGAUCGGGAGGAAUACCAGUGGCGAAGGCGGCCUUCUGGACUGACACUGACACUGAGGUGCGAAAGCGUGGGUAGCAAACAGGAUUAGAUACCCCUGUAGUC
Molecule: ribosomal RNA, 465 nt
Filed under: Vreelandella stevensii
Lineage: Bacteria; Pseudomonadati; Pseudomonadota; Gammaproteobacteria; Oceanospirillales; Halomonadaceae
Description: partial 16S ribosomal RNA
Rfam family: Bacterial small subunit ribosomal RNA
Source: RNAcentral